Molecule: long non-coding RNA, 1854 nt
Organism: Macadamia integrifolia
Lineage: Eukaryota; Viridiplantae; Streptophyta; Magnoliopsida; Proteales; Proteaceae
Exons: 4
Source: RefSeq, a predicted model, not a curated record
UGGUUCCAGUCAAUUUCUGCAGAAUCCGUAUCAGAAUCCCCUCCACCUGAAACCUGGAUCCCAAGAUCUCAUCCGUGGAUUUUGGAUUAGAAUCAGAUUGGAGCUGGCCCAUUUGUUCCUGUUUUUCUCGCCGUGAAGGUUUAAAAAUAUCCUAUCUACUCCACUCAACGGAUCCCGAAACCGCACACGGCGUCGGAGGGACCCCUCUCCUCGAUUAAAAUAUUCAUCUCCUUUUUCUAUAUUAGAGACGAGACACCGCUGGAACGAAUCUAGGUUUCUAACCCUAAAUGUGAAAAAUGUUAACCCUAAUCGGGUGGAAGAGGAGAAGAGCCGAACCUGCGGAAGGCGAAGGGAGAACUGGAGAAGUCGAGACAUCCUCAUGGGCUCACGAGGUCAUCACCUACAAAUCGAAAUAGUUUGGGUUCUCUCACCUCUCUCACGGUUCUCUACUUCUUGUUACCCCAAGAUUUCCUUUUUCUCGCUUUUGUCUACUACCAAUUAAUUAUCCUUACUUUUUUUUUUUUCCAAGGUAAUCUGUAGCUGUUGCAGUGCGGAAACAGGCCUGAUCCACCUCUCAUUCUGGUUUGUAAGUAAAUAAUCUGUUACUGAAUAAUUCAAAACAUCGUAGGCGGAGACCGGCGGAGAGCCCUUGGGCUCUCGACACAUGGCUCACCGCGAUCUAACGUUUACGAGAGUUUUCACUCAUUGGAUCUCCAUUUUCUGGAUUUCGGGUCUAAAUCCAAGUCUCCCUCCACUUUCCAACCCCCUCAUGAAACCCUAAUUGCUUAUGAUUUCUUCCUCCUCCCUCUUCUUUCUUUCUGCUCUGUUCUAUUUUCGAUCCUCUCUCUUCUUCUCUUUUCCUCAUUUAUCCCUCUCAGUUCGUCUGCCAUCAGCGGUUGCAAAUCGCCUCUGAAACUUGGUGAGUGAAACCCUGAUUGGUUCUUUCUUCCUGCUCUGAAACACGGCUGCAAAUCGGCUCUGAAACGUGGUGAGUGAAACCCUUAUUGCUUCUUUCUUCCUUCUCAAGAUCUCUCAGCCUCUUUCGAUAAAGUCAUACAUGGGAUGUGCUUGGAUAUUUCAUCUCCUCCCCCACCACCAACUGCAGAGGAGGCAAAUGACCAUACUGGUGGAAUGCGUGGAACUGAUAUAUUUGGGUUCUCAACAUCUCUUGAUUAGGUGAGCUCUUUAUCCCACAAUUGCAGUUUCUUGAUGAUUAUGGGGCCCAAGAAAAUAAUUUCCCCAACAGAAGGCCUUUCUCUUGGCGACGGAAAAUCCUUUUUGGAUGUGGUUUUUUUCUCCGGCAGUGGCACCAUUCCCUCUGAAAGAAAGUCGAUCCAAGAGCACCGUCGUACUGCAGAGCUGACCUAGAAUAAAUUUCAUAUUCAUUUUGAUCCAGAACGGUUAGUUAUUGCUGCUGUAGGGAUACCGUUGUGGACAAUAACAACCAGUCCACAAGGCUCUUGGCAAUUAUAUCAUAUGUGGGUAGAGAAUUAGGUGGCGUCCUUUGACUGUUUGGUUCGAUAAUGACUAUAUGGUUGUGGAAUUAUCUUCUUCCUUCGUCCCACAAUCGAUACAGAAUACAGAGCAGAUGCAGAGAUCAACUUCUUGACCCUGCGGCCUUCAGGUCAGUCUUGAGUAUCUAUGCGGCUGGUGUUUGAUCACUGAGGAUUCCUUUGGUUCUCUUUCUUAUUACUGGUCCCAGAGUUGAAACCGAUCAUUUCCAAAUUCGCUUGCUCUGUGUUUGGCAGGCUUAAGGCUCUAGAUAGAUUGAUGUUGUCUUGUCUCUUCAAUGAGUAUUGUAAUGACGAUGAUGCUCUUGUUGCACUUGCUGCGAUUAAUAUUCUUCUCUUUUUA